AACGAACGCUGGCGGCAUGCCUAACACAUGCAAGUCGAACGAGACCUUCGGGUCUAGUGGCGCACGGGUGCGUAACGCGUGGGAACCUGCCCUUAGGUUCGGAAUAACUCCCCGAAAGGGGUGCUAAUACCGGAUAAUGUCUUCGGACCAAAGAGUUAUCGCCUUUGGAUGGGCCCGCGUUGGAUUAGCUAGUUGGUAGGGUAAAAGCCUACCAAGGCGACGAUCCAUAGCUGGUCUGAGAGGAUGAUCAGCCACACUGGGACUGAGACACGGCCCAGACUCGUACGGGAGGCAGCAGUGGGGAAUAUUGGACAAUGGGCGAAAGCCUGAUCCAGCAAGGCCGCGUGAGUGAUGAAGGCCUUAGGGUUGUAAAGCUCUUUUACCCGGGAUGAUAAUGACAGUACCGGGAGAAUAAGCUCCGGCUAACUCCGUG
Molecule: ribosomal RNA, 433 nt
Filed under: uncultured bacterium
Lineage: Bacteria
Description: partial 16S ribosomal RNA
Rfam family: Bacterial small subunit ribosomal RNA
Source: RNAcentral